Molecule: non-coding RNA, 21 nt
Filed under: Caenorhabditis elegans
Lineage: Eukaryota; Metazoa; Nematoda; Chromadorea; Rhabditida; Rhabditidae
Source: RNAcentral
UCAUUCUUUCAAGUUUGUCAC